Molecule: ribosomal RNA, 1218 nt
Filed under: metagenome
Description: bacterial SSU rRNA
Rfam family: Bacterial small subunit ribosomal RNA
Source: RNAcentral
CUGAAGGUGGGGAUCCUUCGGGACCUGCCGCUCGAGGAGGAGCCCGCGUACCAUCAGCUUGUUGGUGAGGUAACGGCUCACCAAGGCUUACGGUUAGCUGGUCUGAGAGGAUGGUCAGCCACACUGGGACUGAGACACUGCCCAGACUCCUACGGGAGGCUGCAGUCGAGGAUCAUUGUCAAUGCGCGAAAGCGUGAACAUGCGACGCUGCGUGGAGGAUGACGGCCUUCGGGUUGUAAACUCCUGUCAUCCGGGAAAAACGGGCGGUUCGCGAAUAGCGGGCCGUCGUGAUGGUACCGGAAGAGGAAGCCACGGCUAACUCUGUGCCAGCAGCCGCGGUAAUACAGAGGUGGCGAGCGUUGUUCGGAUUUACUGGGCGUAAAGCGUGCGUAGGUGGUUCCGUGUGUCGGAUGUGAAAGCCCACUGCCCAACGGUGGAAAUGCUUUCGAAACUGCGGAGCUGGAGUGCAGGAGGGGAGAGCGGAAUUCUUGGUGUAGCGGUGAAAUGCGUUGAUAUCAAGAAGAACACCGGUGGCGAAGGCGGCUCUCUGGAAUGUUACUGACACUGAGGCACGAAAGCUGGGGGAGCAAACAGGAUUAGAUACCCUGGUAGUCCCAGCCGUAAACGGUGUGGACUUGGUGUUGGCGGUAUUGACCCCGCCAGUGCCGGAGCUAACGCGUUAAGUCCACCGCCUGGGGAGUACGGCCGCAAGGCUAAAACUCAAAGAAAUUGACGGGGGCCCGCACAAGCGGAGGAGCAUGUGGCUUAAUUCGAUGCAACGCGAAGAACCUUACCAGGGCUUGACAUGGAGACCCUUCGGGGGUGCCGGCGAAAGUCGCUUUACUCACACAGGUGCUGCAUGGCUGUCGUCAGUUCGUGCCGUGAGGUGUUGGGUUAAGUCCGCAACGAACGCAACCCUUGUGUCUAGUUGCCACCGCAGGUGAUGAGCCUGCGAGCACUCUAGACAGACUGCCCGUACAAGCGGGAGGAAGGUGGGGACGACGUCAAGUCAGUAUGGCCCUUACGUCCUGGGCUGCACACGUGCUACAAUGGUCGGUACAGAGGGAAGCAAUGCCGCAAGGUGGAGCAAAUCCCCAAAGCUGGCCUCAGUUCGGAUUGGAGUCUGCAACUCGACUCCAUGAAGUUGGAUUCGCUAGUAACGGCGCAUCAGCUACGGCGCCGUGGAUACGUUCCCGGGCCUUGUACACACCGCCCGUC